CAAAGGCUUCGGCCGGUAAAGGAUGGGGAUGCGUCUGAUUAGCUUGCCGGCGGGGUAACGGCCCACCGGGGCGACGAUCAGUAGGGGUUCUGAGAGGAAGGUCCCCCACAUUGGAACUGAGACACGGUCCAAACCCCUACGGGAGGCAGCAGUGAGGAAUAUUGGUCAAUGGGCGCGAGCCUGAACCAGCCAAGUAGCGUGCAGGACGACGGCCCUAUGGGUUGUAAACUGCUUUUAUACGGGGAUAAAGUAUGCCACGUGUGGUUUAUUGCAGGUACCGUAUGAAUAAGGACCGGCUAAUUCCGUGCCAGCAGCCGCGGUAAUACGGAAGGUCCGGGCGUUAUCCGGAUUUAUUGGGUUUAAAGGGAGCGUAGGCCGGGUUUUAAGCGUGCCGUGAAAUGUCGGGGCUCAACCUUGACACUGCGGCGCGAACUGGAGUCCUUGAGUGCGCGGAACGUAUGCGGAAUUCGUGGUGUAGCGGUGAAAUGCUUAGAUAUCACGAAGAACCCCGAUUGCGAAGGCAGCAUACGGCAGCGCUACUGACGCUGAAGCUCGAAGGCGCGGGUAUCGAACAGGAUUAGAUACCCUGGUAGUCCGCGCGGUAAACGAUGGAUGCCCGCUGUUGGCGAUAUAUUGUCA
RNAcentral lists this ribosomal RNA (639 nucleotides) under uncultured bacterium. RNAcentral's name for it is "bacterial SSU rRNA". It matches the Rfam family "Bacterial small subunit ribosomal RNA", at positions 202 to 842 of the family's 1533-position model. The record is from RNAcentral.